This 631-nucleotide ribosomal RNA is filed under the name bacterium ocnta122lb754offp11.20. Its description in RNAcentral is "bacterial SSU rRNA". It matches the Rfam family "Bacterial small subunit ribosomal RNA", at positions 50 to 678 of the family's 1533-position model. The record is from RNAcentral.
UACACAUGCAGUCGAACGGUAACAGGUCUUUCGGGAUGCUGACGAGUGGCGAACGGGUGAGUAAUACAUCGGAACGUGCCUAGUAGUGGGGGAUAACUACUCGAAAGAGUGGCUAAUACCGCAUGAGAUCUAUGGAUGAAAGCAGGGGACCUUCGGGCCUUGUGCUACUAGAGCGGCCGAUGGCAGAUUAGGUAGUUGGUGGGAUAAAAGCUUACCAAGCCUACGAUCUGUAGCUGGUCUGAGAGGACGAUCAGCCACACUGGGACUGAGACACGGCCCAGACUCCUACGGGAGGCAGCAGUGGGGAAUUUUGGACAAUGGGGGAAACCCUGAUCCAGCAAUGCCGCGUGCAGGAUGAAGGCCUUCGGGUUGUAAACUGCUUUUGUACGGAACGAAAAGUCUUGGGUUAAUACCCUGGGAUCAUGACGGUACCGUAAGAAUAAGCACCGGCUAACUACGUGCCAGCAGCCGCGNUAAUACGUAGGGUGCAAGCGUUAAUCGGAAUUACUGGGCGUAAAGCGUGCGCAGNGGUUUUGUAAGACAGUGGUGAAAUCCCCGGGCUCAACCUGGGAACUGCCAUUGUGACUGCAAGGCUGGAGUGCGGCAGAGGGGGAUGGAAUUCCGCGUGUAG